UUUCAGGCCAAACGAGCUUACAUUGAUUGUGGAGCCAUAAGAGGAGAUACCAGAGCUUCAUCCAUUGUGGAUGUUUAUCCAGAGAACUGCAUCAUGUGCCUAGAGAAAUGCAUAGAGUCCUUGCUCCCCACUAUGAAUUCAUUGAGGAAGUCAGAAUGUGAUGGGAGGAUUGCUGCGCCAGGGUCAUUUUACAGAGUAUGAAAGAAGGCAAUAAAGCCCCCAAUCAACAGGGAUAAAAUGGAAGCCAACUUUGCUCUGGUGAAGGCCCUUCCCAUUCUCUUUCCCCCAGUGGCACCUCCAUCAAAGAAACUGGGGUGUGCUAGUGAAGCUUUACUGCAUGUUCAGGAGUCAACAGAAGAUCCAAACGUCUUCAUCCAGAAGAGAGGCCUGUCAAGUCCAGUCUUGGUGUUCGAUGGCAGCAGAUGAAUCGUUGCUAUUGGUUUGAUGCCAGUGACGUUUGAAAAAGAAAAGCUUCACGAGGGUCUGAUUUUCUAAAUGGCAUAUUAUUACACACUACAUCUGACCUACACAAAAUGCGUGGCCACCCUUCUGUCAUUCAGACAGAUCCUUCAGGAUACGAUUCACAAGCGGGACAGCACCACCAUGAAAGAGCAUUAAAGUAAAGAAUUUGUUGGAAGAUGAACUGCUUUUGCAGUUCAAUGUUUAUGUCUGUUCUUUAGAUGAGUAUUCUAAUUGUGUUGUUAAAGAAACUGUUGUAUUCCUAGAAAAUUUGGGUACAUUUGUAACACAAAUCUCAGUU
Molecule: long non-coding RNA, 760 nt
Filed under: Oryzias sinensis (Chinese medaka)
Lineage: Eukaryota; Metazoa; Chordata; Actinopteri; Beloniformes; Adrianichthyidae
Description: lncRNA (ENSOSIG00000007177.1)
Source: RNAcentral